CGCCAGACUCCUACGGGAGGCAGCAGUGGGGGAUAUUGCACAAUGGGGGGAACCCUGAUGCAGCGACGCCGCGUGGGUGAAGGAGUGCUUCGGCAUGUAAAGCCCUAUCGGCAGGGAAGAAGCAGGACGGUACCUGACUAGGAAGCCCCGGCUAAUUACGUGCCAGCAGCCGCGGUAAUACGUAGGGGGCGAGCGUUAUCCGGAUUCACUGGGUGUAAAGGGAGCGUAGACGGUCCUGCAUGCCAGAUGUGAAAGCCCGGGGCUCAACCCCGGGACUGCAUUUGGAACUGUAAGGCUAGAGUGUCGGAGAGGCAGGCGGAAUUCCUAGUGUAGCGGUGAAAUGCGUAGAUAUUAGGAGGAACACCAGUGGCGAAGGCGGCCUGCUGGACGAUGACUGACGUUGAGGCUCGAAAGCGUGGGGAGCAAACAGGAUUAGAUACCCUUGUA
This 447-nucleotide ribosomal RNA is filed under the name uncultured bacterium. RNAcentral describes it as "bacterial SSU rRNA". It matches the Rfam family "Bacterial small subunit ribosomal RNA", at positions 329 to 792 of the family's 1533-position model. The record is from RNAcentral.